CGUUCUUAGUUCGUGGAGUGAUCUGUCUGCUUAAUUGCGUUUCAAAAUUUAACUUGAGGACCGGGUUUUGGUUUGGCUAGUGGUUCUACGAUGACUGUGAACUGUCAUGUCUUCGGAUGUGCGACUAUUGGUCUAGGAUCACAUGACUUGCCCCUGGGACUCUUUUGAACGCAACGGACGUGAUUGCAACCCCUUGUUGAGAUUAGAGAUAGUCUCGAUAUUCACUGGACAAACUGGCUGCUUUAUGCAGUCUUGUUGAAUGGUGGAUAAACUCGGGGGACUGCUGACUAUAACCAUUUCUCAAAACAGAGGAAGGUUGCGGCAAUAACAGGUCUGUGAUGCCCUCAGAUGUCCCGGGCUGCACACGUGCUACAAUGAGUGGCGCAAUGUGCUAAUGUUUAAGGGAUAAGAGUGUGGUCAGUAGAACGUCGGGAUUUCCCCUGACGUCUCCCCCGCACGAUUAUCAGCCUUCCCUUAACAGGGCGGGCAACCUUUUCAAAAUACUGGUUUGAUGUUAAAGUAUUGAGUCGUUUUUUUUGGAUGGUGGUUUGUUAACCAAUACCAUCCGGCAACUGCUCGCGAGUUUGUGGUUCUGGCGACUCAUGG
This 606-nucleotide ribosomal RNA is filed under the name Globigerinoides ruber albus. RNAcentral's name for it is "partial small subunit ribosomal RNA". The stretch from base 1 to 543 matches the Rfam family "Eukaryotic small subunit ribosomal RNA", at positions 1289 to 1605 of the family's 1831-position model. The record is from RNAcentral. Lineage: Eukaryota; Foraminifera; Rotaliida; Globigerinidae.